AGUGAACGCUGGCGGCGUGCUUAACACAUGCAAGUCGAACGAGAACGGAUUAUAGCUUGCUAUAAUUGUCAGCUAAGUGGCGCACGGGUGAGUAAUGUAUAGGUAAUAUGCCUCUUACUAAGGGAUAACAAAUGGAAACGUUUGCUAAUACCUUAUACUCCUUAUUAACAUAAGUUAAUAAGGGAAAGAUUUAUUGGUAAGAGAUUAGCCUGUAUUGUAUCAGUUAGUUGGUGGGGUAAUGGCUUACCAAGACUAUGACACAUAACUGGUUUGAGUGGAUGAACAGUCACACUGGAACUGAGAACCGGUCCAGACUCAUACGGGAGGCAGCAGUGGGGAAUAUUGCACAAUGGACGGAAGUCUGAUGCAGCAACGCCGCGUGGAGGAUGACACAUUUCGGUGCGUAAACUCCUUUUAUAUGAGAAGAUAAUGACGGUAUUAUAUGAAUAAGCCCCGGCUAACUCCGUGCCAGCAGCCGCCGUAA
This 484-nucleotide ribosomal RNA is filed under the name uncultured bacterium. RNAcentral describes it as "partial 16S ribosomal RNA". It matches the Rfam family "Bacterial small subunit ribosomal RNA", at positions 29 to 523 of the family's 1533-position model. The record is from RNAcentral.